AAUGAACGCUGGCGGCGUGCUUAACACAUGCAAGUCGAACGAUGAAGAUGCUGCUUGCAGCAUUGGAUUAGUGGCGCACGGGUGAGUAAUAUAUAGAUAAUGUGCCUCUUAGUCUGGGAUAGCCAUUGGAAACGAUGAUUAAUACUAGAUACUCCUUCUCUUUAUAAUGAGAGUUGGAAAGUUUUCGCUAAGAGAUCAGUCUAUAUCCCAUCAGUUAGUUGGUAGGGUAAUGGCCUACCAAGACAAUGACGGGUAGCGGGUUUGAGAGGAUGAUCCGCCACACUGGUACUGAGACACGGACCAG
This 304-nucleotide ribosomal RNA is filed under the name uncultured Sulfurimonas sp. Its description in RNAcentral is "bacterial SSU rRNA". It matches the Rfam family "Bacterial small subunit ribosomal RNA", at positions 29 to 334 of the family's 1533-position model. The record is from RNAcentral. Lineage: Bacteria; Pseudomonadati; Campylobacterota; Epsilonproteobacteria; Campylobacterales; Sulfurimonadaceae.